AUGUUACUGAAAAAUCAACCCUGUGGGGAGUGUGCAAAGAAAACUGUGAGGGGUCAGGUGGUUUUACUUUACGGCUACACCCACCAGCACAAUUUUGAGCAGUUUCCCAAAUCCUUUCCUAUCAAUUCCCCUCCAUUCAGUAGAGGGAACCAAAAUGAUCCUUGGGUGAACUUGCUGUUCUUAGUUGCAUCCCUUGGAGGUGCCAAAUCUCAAGUCCAGUUGGUGGAAUCUGGAGGGGACUUGCGAAAACCUGGAGAGUCCAUUCGUAUUUCCUGUCAUGGCUCUGGAUUCACCAUGAGGAGCUACUGGAUGCACUGGGUGAGACAGGCUCCAAUGAAAGGACUGGAAUGGCUUGCAGCCAUGGGUACAACUACAAUUUACUACUCAGACAAAGUCAAGGGACGCUUCACCAUCUCCAGGGACGAUGCCAAAAGCGAGCUAUAUCUGCAAAUGAACAAUCUGAAACUAGAGGACACAGCUGUCUAUUACUGUAUUUUUUUCAUUCUUUUCCAUUAA
Non-coding RNA from Thamnophis elegans (Western terrestrial garter snake), 516 nucleotides. NCBI's taxonomy places the organism in Eukaryota, Metazoa, Chordata, Lepidosauria, Squamata, Natricidae. The record is from the annotation of a RefSeq genome assembly.